RNAcentral lists this small RNA (804 nucleotides) under Pongo abelii (Sumatran orangutan). RNAcentral's name for it is "retained intron". The record is from RNAcentral. Lineage: Eukaryota; Metazoa; Chordata; Mammalia; Primates; Hominidae.
CUCCCCCACACCCUCGCCCGGGGUCCCGAGCCAACCCUUGCUCCUCAGGUCUUCGAGGCAGGAGGCGGCCACGCCGUGCUGUUCGCGGCUGUAGUUGCGGCGCAGCAGACACGGCUUUAGAGUCCGGAUCUCGCCAGAUUCUGGUACCCCGGCUUCCCCGGUCACCUCCAUCCUCUACAAGGUGGGACCUGCCCGGCUUCGAGAAGUCGCGGGAGGCCGGAGCGGCGGUCCUUCUACUCGACCCCCUUCCGCAGCCUGCCGGGAGAUGUAGUUCGCUCCGCAGCAAAUCACACCCAAGCUCCACUCCAGGAAGUGAAAAUGUGCUGCCUCGAGAGCCGCUGUUUUCACAGCCCAAGCCUGCUCCCUCUGUUGCUUGUCCAGCCUUGACCAGUGACUGCCUUCAGCCUGCACUCUGCAUUUCAUCCCAGCAGUAGGAAGAAGUGAGAUUGCCACGGCAGUGAAGUUUCUACAGAAUUCCCGGGUCCGCCAGAGCCCACUUGCAACCAGGAGAGCAUUCCUAAAGAAGAAAGGUACAGGUUCCACAGGGCCGUGCAGCACGGCCUGCAGGGGGACUGGGGCUGGGACAGAUGGAAGCCGUGGUGCAAGGCAGGUGCUGAGCCGCCAGGACUUCCUAGAGCUGCCCACUCACGGGGCAGUGGGGCUGAGGCGAACCCCCCAGUGGGGCUGCAGAUUUCUUUCCUGACAGUGGAGCGGCAAGUUGACACGAUUCGGGUAAUUAAGCACGGAGGACUUAGUCCAGUCCAUCAUGGCAAAGGCAGCAUUCAGUAGCAGAGUCGGCCCAUU